RNAcentral lists this ribosomal RNA (460 nucleotides) under uncultured bacterium. RNAcentral's name for it is "partial 16S ribosomal RNA". It matches the Rfam family "Bacterial small subunit ribosomal RNA", at positions 338 to 795 of the family's 1533-position model. The record is from RNAcentral.
CCUACGGGGAGCAGCAGUGAGGAAUAUUGGUCAAUGGGCGCAAGCCUGAACCAGCCAAGUCGCGUGAGGGAUGACGGUCCUAUGGAUUGUAAACCUCUUUUGUCGGGGAGCAAGGCCCGCCACGUGUGGCGGGAAGGAGAGUACCCGAAGAAAAAGCAUCGGCUAACUCCGUGCCAGCAGCCGCGGUAAUACGGAGGAUGCGAGCGUUAUCCGGAUUUAUUGGGUUUAAAGGGUGCGUAGGCGGAAGGUUAAGUCAGCGGUCAAAUGUCGGUGCUCAACACCGGCCUGCCGUUGAAACUGGUCGUCUUGAGUGAGCGAGAAGUAUGCGGAAUGCGUGGUGUAGCGGUGAAAUGCAUAGAUAUCACGCAGAACUCCGAUUGCGAAGGCAGCAUACCGGCGCUCAACUGACGCUGAGGCACGAAAGCGUGGGGAUCGAACAGGAUUAGAUACCCUUGUAGUC